This 666-nucleotide ribosomal RNA is filed under the name uncultured Bacteroidales bacterium. RNAcentral describes it as "bacterial SSU rRNA". It matches the Rfam family "Bacterial small subunit ribosomal RNA", at positions 68 to 724 of the family's 1533-position model. The record is from RNAcentral. Lineage: Bacteria; Pseudomonadati; Bacteroidota; Bacteroidia; Bacteroidales.
GCAGCAUGGUCUUAGCUUGCUAAGACUGAUGGCGACCGGCGCACGGGUGAGUAACACGUAUCCAACCUGCCGUCUACUCUUGGACAGCCUUCUGAAAGGAAGAUUAAUACAAGAUGGCAUCAUGAGUCCACAUGUUCACAUGAUUAAAGGUAUUCCGGUAGACGAUGGGGAUGCGUUCCAUUAGAUAGUAGGCGGGGUAACGGCCCACCUAGUCUUCGAUGGAUAGGGGUUCUGAGAGGAAGGUCCCCCACAUUGGAACUGAGACACGGUCCAAACUCCUACGGGAGGCAGCAGUGAGGAAUAUUGGUCAAUGGGCGAGAGCCUGAACCAGCCAAGUAGCGUGAAGGAUGACUGCCCUAUGGGUUGUAAACUUCUUUUAUAAAGGAAUAAAGUCGGGUAUGCAUACCCGUUUGCAUGUACUUUAUGAAUAAGGAUCGGCUAACUCCGUGCCAGCAGCCGCGGUAAUACGGAGGAUCCGAGCGUUAUCCGGAUUUAUUGGGUUUAAAGGGAGCGUAGAUGGAUGUUUAAGUCAGUUGUGAAAGUUUGCGGCUCAACCGUAAAAUUGCAGUUGAUACUGGAUAUCUUGAGUGCAGUUGAGGCAGGCGGAAUUCGUGGUGUAGCGGUGAAAUGCUUAGAUAUCACGAAGAACUCCGAUUGCGAAGGCAG